UGAAACCGUAUGCUUACAAAAAGUUAGAGCCCGUUAAUGGGUGAUGGCGUGCCUUUUGUAGAAUGAACCGGCGAGUUAUGGUAUUAUGCAAGGUUAAGUCUAAAGGGACGGAGCCGAAGCGAAAGCGAGUCUUAAUAGGGCGGUAAGUUGAAUGCUGUAGACCCGAAACCCGGCGAGCUAGCCAUGAGCAGGUUGAAGUUUGAGUAAAAUCAAAUGGAGGACCGAACUAGGGCCUGUUGAAAAAGGCUUGGAUGACUUGUGGCUAGGGGUGAAAUUCCAAUCGAGCUGGGAUAUAGCUGGUUCUCCCCGAAAUAACUUUAGGGCUAGCGUUAAACAAGAGUUUUAUGAAGGUAGAGCACUGAAUAGUAGAUGGUCCCACCUCGGGAUACUGACAUUAAUCAAACUCCGAAUGUCAUAAAACGCGUUUAGCAGUCAGACUGCGAGUGAUAAGGUCCGUGGUCAAAAGGAAAAGAGUCCAGACCGCCAAAUAAGGUCCCAAAAUAUAUGCUAAGUGGAGAAGGAUGUAGAGAUGCCUAAACAACUAGGAUGUUGGCUUAGAAGCAGCCAUCAUUUAAAGAGUGCGUAAUAGCUCACUAGUCGAGUGACUCCGCGCCGAAAAUGUACCGGGGCUAAGCAUAUUACCGAAUUUGCGGAUUCGAUACGAAAGUAUUGAGUGGUAGGGGAGCGUUCCAUACUGGGAAGAAGCAAGAUCGAGAGGACUUGUGGACUAUAUGGAAGUGAGAAUGCCGGUGUGAGUAACGAAAAGACAGGUGAGAAUCCUGUCCGUCAAAAACCCAAGGUUUCCAGGGGAAGGGUCGUCCGCCCUGGGUAAGUCUGGGCCUAAGGUGAGGCCGAGAGGCGUAGCUGAUGGAUAUCUGGUGUAUAUUCCAGAACUAGUAUAAUGACUGAUGGAGUGACGAAGAAGGCUAGGAUCCGAUUCUUAGUGGAUUGAAUACGAGAUAUCAAGAGGGGAUGUAGGCAAAUCCGCAUCUAGAAAUCAAGAUAUGACAGGUAAAGGAUAACGAAGUCAAGCUUCCAAGAAAAGCUUCUAGGGUUAAUCAUUAUACUACCAGUACCGUAAACCGACACAGGUGGGUAGGAAGAGAAUUCUAAGACGCGCGAGAAAACCCUUGUUAAGGAACUCUGCAAGUUGGCCCCGUAAGUUCGCAAUAAGGGGAGCUCAUGUAAAAGUGAGCCACAGAAAAGAAGCCCAAGCAACUGUUUAACAAAAACACAGGUUUAUGCAAAACCGUAAGGUGAAGUAUAUGAGCUGACACCUGCCCGGUGCUGGAAGGUUAAAAGGAGAGGUUAGAGCAAUCGAAGCCUUGAAUUGAAGCCCCAGUAAACGGCGGCCGUAACUAUAACGGUCCUAAGGUAGCGAAAUUCCUUGUCAGGUAAGUUCUGACCCGCACGAAAGGUGUAAUGUCUUUGGGCACUGUCUCAACAGGGGACUCGGUGAAAUCAAACUGCCGGUGAAAAUGCCGGCUACCCGCGAUUAGACGGAAAGACCCCAUGGAGCUUUACUGUAGGUUGAUAUUGAUAUUUGGUAUGUAAUGUACAGGAUAGGUGGGAGACUAUGAAGCUAGGACGUUAGUCUUGGUGGAGUCGACGUUGGGAUACCACCCUUUGCCUAUCGAGUAUCUAACUAGUGUAAGUGGAUUACAAAGGACAGUGUCAGUUGGGCAGUUUGACUGGGGCGGUCGCCUCCUAAAGAGUAACGGAGGCGCUCGAAGGUUCCCUCAGAAUGGUUGGAAAUCAUUCGCAGAGUGUAAACGCAGAAGGGAGCUUGACUGCAAGACAAACAAGUCGAGCAGGGACGAAAGUCGGAGUUAGUGAUCUUACGGUACCGCGUGGAAGGGCCGUGA
Molecule: ribosomal RNA, 1865 nt
Filed under: human gut metagenome
Description: bacterial LSU rRNA
Rfam family: Bacterial large subunit ribosomal RNA
Source: RNAcentral